CUAACGUCACUCUGUCAUUGUCCGCCUUUUCAUCCUUUUUGUUUUCUCUUGGCGACCUAUAGGAUGCUGACGCGCUCGCUGCUGUGUCGCACGUCGUUGCAGAGCCGUCGCCGGUGGGAGCAGCGCAUUGUGUCAGUGCUCUCCGAGAACAAGGAGGAGGGCGUCGAUGCGGUGGCGAAACGCUUCCAGCGAGUCUACAAGGAGCGCCGCUACACGCCCGUGGAGGAGGCGUUUCCACCCCUCGCUGCUGCCGCGGCCGCGCCUGGGCUGAGCUCUUCUGCCGCGAAAGCGAGCGUCGAGUCAGUGCAGCAGCCCGCCAACCCGCUCGUGCUGCGCGUUGCCUUCCUCGGGCCUCAAAACGCAGGAAAGACGUCCCUCGUUAAUUCCAUGGCGCUCAGCAAUGUUGGCGCCGUCAGCAACCGCUAUGGCAGCACCAAGGAUUGGACAAAGGCAGUCGCUACAGUACACGACACGCAGUUGCUCCUCCUCGACACACCGGGCAUUGUGCCGCGUGAUACGCAGCGCGUGCGGCGCAAGUUCGCCUCCGGCACGGCUAAGGCGUACGAUGCUCUGUUCGUGUCGGACCUCGUUGUCCUGGCUCUCCCCGUCGGCGUGGGAUUUGUCGAGAAGGAGCACAAGGUGGUCGCGACGGAGGUGGUACGCCGCGCCGCGGGCCGCGAGCUACCCGUGGUGGUCGCCAUGACAAUGAUGGACAAGGUUCAGACGCCGCGCCAUCGAGAGCUGUACUUUGCCAUGCGCACCGACCUUGAGUCUCUCGGGUUGCCGACUGCCGCGACGCACGAGGUCAGCGUCAAGGGCGGCAGUGGACUGGUGGAGCUGAAGGAUUGCCUCUGCCAGUACGCAAAGCCGGGGGCGUGGGAGCACUAUCGCCGCGAGGCGACGGAUUUGAAUCCACCGCAGCGCGUGGCGGAGCUGCUGCGGCAGACCUUCAUGGAGCUACUCCCGCACGAGAUUCCGCACUGCAUGCGACACCGGGUGCUGGGCUGGACGCGCAAGGAGUCAGGCACGACGGAGGUGGUGGUGGAGGUAUUCUUCGAUCGCCCUGCGUACAUGUUCACCUUCUACGGCAAGUUGGAGGCCAUCUGUCUGCGUGCACAGCAGGUGACGGAGCGCGAGCUGGCGCCGCAGCGGUUUCGUUUUGUUUUUCAGGCCUUCAUCGCCCCAGGCGGCCUCUCAAACUCGUGAGGUGUAAUUUGUCUGUGCAGCAGUUGGUGUGCGCUUCCUCCUUCCCCGUCUCCAGCGGCUCAGGCGAGGCGCCCUCACAGCUUUUCGCAGGUUCUGACAACGUGUGUGAGCUUCUGUGUGUGGGGGGUGGGUGGGUGGGUGAGUGGGUGAGCCCACGUCACCCGCUCUUCAUUUCUCGAAGCAUCGACCCAUGCAAAGAGACGGACGCUGGCAAGGUGGAAAAUCACGUUUGUGAAGUUCUCGGCAAAGACCUUCGUGGCGCGGCACACAGCGGCACCUCUGACGAGGAGAAGCAGCGCAGAGGGGCCCCGGAGGGGUAGGAGUGGGCAUCACGGAGUGCAACGACCGGUGUGGGGGGGAGGUAGAGAAGAGGGAAAAGCUCGCCGUGUCGUGUGUAGACUCAAACGCAGGCUUUGCUCUCUUUUACCCCCACUGCCAUCCGUCGAGAAACACAGACACACACACACACACACACACAGACAGCCGGGGACAAAUAGUCAUGUCCCACACCCCUCUUGCAGACGUGUUCCUUGUAACAUGGUAGCACAUGCGUCACCGUCUUUCAUCUUGGGCUGACCACUCGCUCGUCAUCUUCUCGUUCUCG
This 1810-nucleotide unclassified non-coding RNA is filed under the name Leishmania donovani. RNAcentral describes it as "gene:LdHU3.25.0530(CDS-product:Ferrous_iron_trans port_protein_B/50S_ribosome-binding_GTPase/Protein_of_unkno wn_function_DUF258_putative)". The record is from RNAcentral. Lineage: Eukaryota; Euglenozoa; Kinetoplastea; Trypanosomatida; Trypanosomatidae.